Non-coding RNA from Cinara cedri, 280 nucleotides. The record is from the annotation of a GenBank genome assembly. Lineage: Eukaryota; Metazoa; Arthropoda; Insecta; Hemiptera; Aphididae.
UCAAACAUAUAAUUUAGUAUAAAAGUGGCCAUACUGCAGUUGUGAGCAGCGAACCUUUAUCAACAUUGUUUAUGAUCACAAUCCAAUUCAAUAAUUACAAAAAAAGUUUUUAUUUAGAGUAAUAAUCUAUGGACUGAGAUGAUAUCAAACUCUACCAUUCGAUAGCAAUAUAUAACAGAAAAACCCACGGCUAAUAUAAUAUACUAUCAGUGGUUAAAAAUAAAACGUAAAAUAUGAUCAACAAAAUUCAAAAUAUUUUGCUUUCAAAUCAUAAAGUUUG